GUUGGGGUGAAUGAUUUCGGAUGGAAUGGAAUGAAAAAUGAACUAUUUUAUAGACAAUUUUCAAAAAAAUUCAUUCAUUCCCCCAUUACAUUCCUUACCUCAUGUGCUAGAUUUCACACCUUCAAUUUGAGAUGGAAUGCUCCAUUCUCUCUCAUCCUCAAUUUCUUCUCAAAUCUCAUCAUAACAAUUUUGCACUUCCACAAUUUUUUUUCAAAACUUUCUUUCUAUAUCUAUUAGUUUCAAGUAUUUUUACUCAUUUCAUUCCAUUCCAUUCCAU
RNAcentral lists this long non-coding RNA (277 nucleotides) under Daucus carota (carrot). RNAcentral's name for it is "long non-coding RNA (DCAR_LNC002483)". The record is from RNAcentral. Lineage: Eukaryota; Viridiplantae; Streptophyta; Magnoliopsida; Apiales; Apiaceae.